This 49-nucleotide transfer RNA is filed under the name Caudoviricetes sp. RNAcentral describes it as "partial tRNA-OTHER". It matches the Rfam family "tRNA", at positions 21 to 65 of the family's 71-position model. From Rfam's summary of the family: Transfer RNA (tRNA) molecules are approximately 80 nucleotides in length. Their secondary structure includes four short double-helical elements and three loops (D, anti-codon, and T loops). The record is from RNAcentral. Lineage: Duplodnaviria; Heunggongvirae; Uroviricota; Caudoviricetes.
UAGCAUCUGACUACGGAUCAGAAGGUUGGGGGUUCGAAUCCCUCCGGGC